This 460-nucleotide ribosomal RNA is filed under the name uncultured bacterium. RNAcentral's name for it is "partial 16S ribosomal RNA". It matches the Rfam family "Bacterial small subunit ribosomal RNA", at positions 338 to 795 of the family's 1533-position model. The record is from RNAcentral.
CCUACGGGAGGCAGCAGUGAGGAAUAUUGGUCAAUGGCCGUAAGGCUGAACCAGCCAAGUCGCGUGAAGGAAGAAGGAUCUAUGGGUUGUAAACUGCUUUUAUAGGGGAAUAAAGGUAUCCACGUGUGGAGAUUUGCAUGUACCCUAUGAAUAAGCAUCGGCUAACUCCGUGCCAGCAGCCGCGGUAAUACGGAGGAUGCGAGCGUUAUCCGGAUUUAUUGGGUUUAAAGGGUGCGUAGGCUGUUUUUUAAGUCAGCGGUGAAAGCUUGUGGCUCAACCAUAAAAUUGCCGUUGAAACUGGAAGACUUGAGUGUGUUUGCGGUAGGCGGAAUGCGUGGUGUAGCGGUGAAAUGCAUAGAUAUCACGCAGAACACCGAUUGCGAAGGCAGCUUACUAAGCCACAACUGACACUGAAGCACGAAAGCGUGGGGAUCAAACAGGAUUAGAUACCCCUGUAGUC